Molecule: ribosomal RNA, 249 nt
Filed under: uncultured bacterium
Lineage: Bacteria
Description: partial 16S ribosomal RNA
Rfam family: Bacterial small subunit ribosomal RNA
Source: RNAcentral
AUACGUAGGUGGCGAGCGUUGUCCGGAUUUACUGGGCGUAAAGGGAGCGUAGGCGGUAUUUUUUAAGUGAGAUGUGAAAUACUCGGGCUUAACCUGAGUGCUGCAUUUCAAACUGGAAGUCUAGAGUGCAGGAGAGGAGAAGAGAAUUCCUAGUGUAGCGGUGAAAUGCGUAGAGAUUAGGAAGAAUACCAGUGGCGAAGGCGCUUCUCUGGACUGUAACUGACGCUGAGGCUCGAAAGCGUGGGGAGC